RNAcentral lists this ribosomal RNA (465 nucleotides) under Vreelandella stevensii. RNAcentral describes it as "partial 16S ribosomal RNA". It matches the Rfam family "Bacterial small subunit ribosomal RNA", at positions 338 to 795 of the family's 1533-position model. The record is from RNAcentral. Lineage: Bacteria; Pseudomonadati; Pseudomonadota; Gammaproteobacteria; Oceanospirillales; Halomonadaceae.
CCUACGGGUGGCAGCAGUGGGGAAUAUUGGACAAUGGGGGGAACCCUGAUCCAGCCAUGCCGCGUGUGUGAAGAAGGCCCUCGGGUUGUAAAGCACUUUCAGUGAGGAAGAACGCCUGGUGGUUAAUACCCAUCAGGAAAGACAUCACUCACAGAAGAAGCACCGGCUAACUCCGUGCCAGCAGCCGCGGUAAUACGGAGGGUGCGAGCGUUAAUCGGAAUUACUGGGCGUAAAGCGUGCGUAGGUGGCUUGAUAAGCCGGUUGUGAAAGCCCCGGGCUCAACCUGGGAACGGCAUCCGGAACUGUCAAGCUAGAGUGCAGGAGAGGAAGGUAGAAUUCCCGGUGUAGCGGUGAAAUGCGUAGAGAUCGGGAGGAAUACCAGUGGCGAAGGCGGCCUUCUGGACUGACACUGACACUGAGGUGCGAAAGCGUGGGUAGCAAACAGGAUUAGAUACCCUGGUAGUC